RNAcentral lists this ribosomal RNA (494 nucleotides) under uncultured bacterium. Its description in RNAcentral is "partial 16S ribosomal RNA". It matches the Rfam family "Bacterial small subunit ribosomal RNA", at positions 28 to 507 of the family's 1533-position model. The record is from RNAcentral.
GACGAACGCUGGCGGCGUGCUUAACACAUGCAAGUCGAACGGUGAAGCGCCUUCCUUUUUGGUGGGUGUGGAUGAGUGGCGAACGGGUGAGUAACACGUGAGUAACCUGCCCCCUUCUUCUGGAUAACCGCAUGAAAGUGUGGCUAAUACGGGAUAUUCUGGGUCUGUCGCAUGAUGGGUCUGGGAAAGAUAUUGUUUCGGUGGGGGAUGGGCUCGCGGCCUAUCAGCUUGUUGGUGGGGUGAUGGCCUACCAAGGCGGUGACGGGUAGCCGGCCUGAGAGGGUGGACGGUCACACUGGGACUGAGACACGGCCCAGACUCCUACGGGAGGCAGCAGUGGGGAAUAUUGCACAAUGGGCGCAAGCCUGAUGCAGCGACGCCGCGGGAGGGGUGGAGGCCUUCGGGUUGUGAACCUCUUUCGCCAGUGAAGCAGGCCUGCCUCGUUUGUGGGUGGGUUGACGGUAGCUGGAUAAGAAGCGCCGGCUAACUACGUG